This 496-nucleotide ribosomal RNA is filed under the name uncultured bacterium. RNAcentral describes it as "bacterial SSU rRNA". It matches the Rfam family "Bacterial small subunit ribosomal RNA", at positions 28 to 523 of the family's 1533-position model. The record is from RNAcentral.
GAUGAACGCUAGCGGCAGGCCUAACACAUGCAAGUCGAGCGGGAUUCGGUAGCUUGCUACCGAUGAGAGCGGCGCACGGGUGCGUAAUGCGUAUACAAUCUGCCUCUUACUGCGGGAUAGCCCAGAGAAAUUUGGAUUAACACCGCAUAGCAUAGUGUUCCGGCAUCGGGACGUUAUUAAAGGUUACGGUAAGAGAUGAGUAUGCGUCCUAUUAGCUAGAUGGUAAGGUAACGGCUUACCAUGGCGACGAUAGGUAGGGGCCCUGAGAGGGGGAUCCCCCACACUGGUACUGAGACACGGACCAGACUCCUACGGGAGGCAGCAGUGAGGAAUAUUGGACAAUGGGCGCAAGCCUGAUCCAGCCAUGCCGCGUGCAGGAAGACGGCCCUAUGGGUUGUAAACUGCUUUUGUACGGGAAGAAACACCACUACGCGUAGUGGCUUGACGGUACCGUAAGAAUAAGGAUCGGCUAACUCCGUGCCAGCAGCCGCGGUAA